UGUUUUAUAGUUUAAUAAAAAUAUUAAUUUUGUAAAUUAAAGAUAUAAAAAAAAUUAUUAAAACAU
RNAcentral lists this transfer RNA (66 nucleotides) under Atta sexdens rubropilosa. RNAcentral describes it as "tRNA-Thr". Lineage: Eukaryota; Metazoa; Arthropoda; Insecta; Hymenoptera; Formicidae. The record is from RNAcentral.